GACAGAGGUGCCAAGCGUUAGGCGGAAUCACUGGGCUUAAAGGGCGCGUAGGCGGGUCAGCAAGUCAGGGGUGAAAUCCCACGGCUCAACCGUGGAAGAGCCUGUGAUACUGCUGGUCUGGAGGGAGGUAGGGGCGUGCGGAACUUCCGGUGGAGCGGUGAAAUGCGUAGAUAUCGGAAGGAACACCGGUGGCGAAAGCGGCGCGCUGGACCUCUUCUGACGCUGAGGCGCGAAAGCCAGGGGAGCAAACGGG
This 253-nucleotide ribosomal RNA is filed under the name uncultured bacterium. RNAcentral's name for it is "partial 16S ribosomal RNA". It matches the Rfam family "Bacterial small subunit ribosomal RNA", at positions 524 to 776 of the family's 1533-position model. The record is from RNAcentral.